CGGAGGGAUCGGCCUGUUCUUAGCUGCUGGAUAUAUUGUUCUCAAGGUCUGCAUCCUCAGGAAGGAAUUCAGCAAAACCCGCACAGAUGGAAGCACGAAGAGACCUUCAGAGCUGCAGCCCAACAUGCUCGCUUUGAGCCAUCUCAGCUAAUCGGAGCAUCCCAGAGGAGGCGGUUUCCAAUGACAAGCAAUGUUAAAGGUCGGGCGGAGUGAUUUGCAGCAUGAUGGUGAACCCUGCAGAGGUGGCAUCUUGGUGAAAGGUCAACCAGGCGGGCCCCGUUGUCCGCUCACGUUUUGUCUCACGACAACCUAAAUCUGUGUCAUCCUUGCAUUUGAACUUCAAUAACGUGUAUCAUUAUGGUUUUCACGAUCCGAUUUGUAAUAUAGCAUUUUUAUUUGGCUGUGGAGUUGUGUUGUUGGAAACACAUAGAAGGUUUCAGCCAUUUAAGAGACUGAACAUGUGUUUUGUUUCACUCUUUCUUGGGAAAAUCCAACUGCUCCACUGACACACAUACUGCCCAUGGAUUAUUUAGCACCACUCAGCAGAAAACCUCUGGACUAAUAAGCACUUCACAUAUUUCCCACAAGGGAGUGACAUUUACCUCCAAGAAUAAGAAAAACAACAACCGUAGACCAACUUUAGUCCAGUUACACAUCUGAACACCAGCGGAGCCUUGUAAACAAAGCUUUGUAAUUUGAUGACUUGUAUUUACGCCUGAACAUAAAGGGAUGGGACAUUUAAUCACAUCUGGAUCAUAAUAAUGUGGUCCCAGUUCCCCCCUCAUGAAGUCCCAUAUAUUAGACAUCAAAGAUCAUC
This is a long non-coding RNA of Anarrhichthys ocellatus (wolf-eel), 817 nucleotides long. RefSeq lists it as uncharacterized. The record is from RefSeq and is a predicted model, not a curated record. Lineage: Eukaryota; Metazoa; Chordata; Actinopteri; Perciformes; Anarhichadidae. The transcript has 3 exons.